Molecule: ribosomal RNA, 725 nt
Filed under: Paenibacillus polymyxa
Lineage: Bacteria; Bacillati; Bacillota; Bacilli; Caryophanales; Paenibacillaceae
Description: bacterial SSU rRNA
Rfam family: Bacterial small subunit ribosomal RNA
Source: RNAcentral
GUUAUAAUGCAGUCGAGCGGAGUCGAUAGGAGCUUGCUUCCUUGAGACUUAGCGGCGGACGGGUGAGUAACACGUAGGCAACCUGCCCUUUAGCCUGGGAUAACUACCGGAAACGGUAGCUAAUACCGGAUACUUUCUUUUUCUGCAUGGGAAAAGAACGAAAGACGGAGCAAUCUGUCACUGAAGGAUGGGCCUGCGGCGCAUUAGCUAGUUGGUGGGGUAACGGCUCACCAAGGCGACGAUGCGUAGCCGACCUGAGAGGGUGAUCGGCCACACUGGGACUGAGACACGGCCCAGACUCCUACGGGAGGCAGCAGUAGGGAAUCUUCCGCAAUGGGCGAAAGCCUGACGGAGCAACGCCGCGUGAGUGAUGAAGGUUUUCGGAUCGUAAAGCUCUGUUGCCAGGGAAGAACGUCUUGGAGAGUAACUGCUCUGAGAGUGACGGUACCUGAGAAGAAAGCCCCGGCUAACUACGUGCCAGCAGCCGCGGUAAUACGUAGGGGGCAAGCGUUGUCCGGAAUUAUUGGGCGUAAAGCGCGCGCAGGCGGCCUUUUAAGUCCGGUGUUUAAUCCCGAAGCUCAACUUCGGGUCGCACUGGAAACUGGAGGGCUUGAGUGCAGAAGAGGAGAGUGGAAUUCCACGUGUAGCGGUGAAAUGCGUAGAGAUGUGGAGGAACACCAGUGGCGAAGGCGACUCUCUGGGCUGUAACUGACGCUGAGUCGCAA